GUUUACAUUUGGUUACUAAAUGUGAGCAUUCUGUCCAAUUUUCAAGUCGCUACAAAUAUUUUAAACUGAAAUACAAUAACUUCGUCUUCUAGUUUUUCCGAAUCAUUAUGAAAUCAAAAAACAACUUACGCCACAAGAAACAAGAUGUAUAAUGAAACAAAAAAGGUUUCUUGUCAUUUUUCGAUUUAAGCAUUUUCCUAAUAAUAAACGUUU
This is a non-coding RNA of Cinara cedri, 213 nucleotides long. Lineage: Eukaryota; Metazoa; Arthropoda; Insecta; Hemiptera; Aphididae. The record is from the annotation of a GenBank genome assembly.